GGGGGUGUGAGAGCAUGGCCCCCACCACUGGGACUGAGAUACUGCCCAGACACCUACGGGUGGCUGCAGUCGAGAAUCUUCGGCAAUGGGCGCAAGCCUGACCGAGCGACGCCGCGUGCGGGAUGAAGGCCCUCGGGUUGUAAACCGCUGUCAGGGGGGAUGAAAUGCAUGGGGGUUCUCCCCCAUGCUUGACAGAGCCCCAGAGGAAGCACGGGCUAAGUUCGUGCCAGCAGCCGCGGUAAUACGAACUGUGCGAACGUUAUUCGGAAUCACUGGGCUUACAGGGUGCGUAGGCGGCUUGUUAAGCAGGGUGUGAAAUCCUCCGGCUCAACCGGAGAACAGCGCUCUGGACUGGCGAGCUUGAGUGUGCUAGGGGUGUGUGGAACUUCCAGUGGAGCGGUGAAAUGUGUUGAUAUUGGAAGGAACACCGGUGGCGAAAGCGACACACUGGGGCAUAACUGACGCUGAGGCACGAAAGCCAGGGGAGCGAACGGGAUUAGAUACCCCGGUAGUCCUGGCUGUAAACGAUGAGCACUAGACGGGAGGGGCUUCGGCCUUUCCGGUCGCAGCGAAAGCAUUAAGUGCUCCGCCUGGGGAGUAUGGUCGCAAGGCUGAA
RNAcentral lists this ribosomal RNA (616 nucleotides) under uncultured bacterium. RNAcentral describes it as "bacterial SSU rRNA". It matches the Rfam family "Bacterial small subunit ribosomal RNA", at positions 286 to 898 of the family's 1533-position model. The record is from RNAcentral.